This 252-nucleotide ribosomal RNA is filed under the name uncultured bacterium. Its description in RNAcentral is "partial 16S ribosomal RNA". It matches the Rfam family "Bacterial small subunit ribosomal RNA", at positions 524 to 776 of the family's 1533-position model. The record is from RNAcentral.
UACGAAGGGGGCUAGCGUUGCUCGGAAUGACUGGGCGUAAAGGGCGCGUAGGCGGCUUGCACAGUCAGGCGUGAAAUUCCUGGGCUCAACCUGGGGACUGCGCUUGAGACGUGUGGGCUUGAGUGGGGAAGAGGGUCGUGGAAUUCCCAGUGUAGAGGUGAAAUUCGUAGAUAUUGGGAAGAACACCGAUGGCGAAGGCAGCCAUCUGGACCGACACUGACGCUGAGGCGCGAAACGUGGGGAGCAAACAGG